UCAUGGCUCAGAUUGAACGCUGGCGGCAGGCCUAACACAUGCAAGUCGAGCGGUAGCACAGAAGAGCUUGCUCUUUGGGUGACGAGCGGCGGACGGGUGAGUAAUGUCUGGGAAACUGCCUGAUGGAGGGGGAUAACUACUGGAAACGGUAGCUAAUACCGCAUAACCUCGCAAGAGCAAAGAGGGGGACCUUAGGGCCUCUCGCCAUCAGAUGUGCCCAGAUGGGAUUAGCUAGUAGGUGAGGUAAUGGCUCACCUAGGCGACGAUCCCUAGCUGGUCUGAGAGGAUGACCAGCCACACUGGAACUGAGACACGGUCCAGACUCCUACGGGAGGCAGCAGUGGGGAAUAUUGCACAAUGGGCGCAAGCCUGAUGCAGCCAUGCCGCGUGUGUGAAGAAGGCCUUCGGGUUGUAAAGCACUUUCAGCGAGGAGGAAGGCGGUAAGGUUAAUAACCUUAUCGAUUGACGUUACUCGCAGAAGAAGCACCGGCUAACUCCGUGCCAGCAGCCGCGGUAAUACGGAGGGUGCAAGCGUUAAUCGGAAUGACUGGGCGUAAAGCGCACGCAGGCGGUCUGUUAAGUUGGAUGUGAAAUCCCCGGGCUUAACCUGGGAACUGCAUUCAAAACUGACAGGCUAGAGUCUUGUAGAGGGGGGUAGAAUUCCAGGUGUAGCGGUGAAAUGCGUAGAGAUCUGGAGGAAUACCGGUGGCGAAGGCGGCCCCCUGGACAAAGACUGACGCUCAGGUGCGAAAGCGUGGGGAGCAAACAGGAUUAGAUACCCUGGUAGUCCACGCUGUAAACGAUGUCGAUUUGGAGGUUGUGCCCUUGAGGCGUGGCUUCCGGAGCUAACGCGUUAAAUCGACCGCCUGGGGAGUACGGCCGCAAGGUUAAAACUCAAAUGAAUUGACGGGGGCCCGCACAAGCGGUGGAGCAUGUGGUUUAAUUCGAUGCAACGCGAAGAACCUUACCUACUCUUGACAUCCACAGAAUUUGGUAGAGAUACCUUAGUGCCUUCGGGAACUGUGAGACAGGUGCUGCAUGGCUGUCGUCAGCUCGUGUUGUGAAAUGUUGGGUUAAGUCCCGCAACGAGCGCAACCCUUAUCCUUUGUUGCCAGCGAUUUCGGUCGGGAACUCAAAGGAGACUGCCGGUGAUAAACCGGAGGAAGGUGGGGAUGACGUCAAGUCAUCAUGGCCCUUACGAGUAGGGCUACACACGUGCUACAAUGGCGUAUACAAAGAGAAGCGACCUCGCGAGAGCAAGCGGACCUCAUAAAGUACGUCGUAGUCCGGAUUGGAGUCUGCAACUCGACUCCAUGAAGUCGGAAUCGCUAGUAAUCGUAGAUCAGAAUGCUACGGUGAAUACGUUCCCGGGCCUUGUACACACCGCCCGUCACACCAUGGGAGUGGGUUGCAAAAGAAGUAGGUAGCUUAACCUUCGGGAGGGCGCUUACCACUUUGUGAUUCAUGACUGGGGUGAAGUCGUAACAAGGUAACCGUAGGGGAACCUGCGGUUGGAUCACCUCCUUA
This 1527-nucleotide ribosomal RNA is filed under the name Pectobacterium carotovorum subsp. carotovorum. Its description in RNAcentral is "16S ribosomal RNA". It matches the Rfam family "Bacterial small subunit ribosomal RNA". The record is from RNAcentral. Lineage: Bacteria; Pseudomonadati; Pseudomonadota; Gammaproteobacteria; Enterobacterales; Pectobacteriaceae.